UACGUAGGGCGCAAGCGUUGUCCGGAAUUAUUGGGCGUAAAGAGCUCGUAGGCGGUUUGUCGCGUCUGCUGUGAAAACCUAAGGCUCAACCUUGGGCUUGCAGUGGGUACGGGCAGACUAGAGUGAUGUAGGGGAGACUGGAAUUCCUGGUGUAGCGGUGAAAUGCGCAGAUAUCAGGAGGAACACCGAUGGCGAAGGCAGGUCUCUGGGCAUUAACUGACGCUGAGGAGCGAAAGCGUGGGGAGCGAACAGG
This 253-nucleotide ribosomal RNA is filed under the name uncultured bacterium. Its description in RNAcentral is "partial 16S ribosomal RNA". It matches the Rfam family "Bacterial small subunit ribosomal RNA", at positions 524 to 776 of the family's 1533-position model. The record is from RNAcentral.